AACGGCUAAUACCGGAUAAUAUAUUGAACCGCAUGGUUCAAUAGUGAAAGACGGUUUUGCUGUCACUUAUAGAUGGAUCCGCGCCGCAUUAGCUAGUUGGUAAGGUAACGGCUUACCAAGGCAACGAUGCGUAGCCGACCUGAGAGGGUGAUCGGCCACACUGGAACUGAGACACGGUCCAG
RNAcentral lists this ribosomal RNA (182 nucleotides) under uncultured Staphylococcus sp. RNAcentral's name for it is "partial 16S ribosomal RNA". It matches the Rfam family "Bacterial small subunit ribosomal RNA", at positions 158 to 334 of the family's 1533-position model. The record is from RNAcentral. Lineage: Bacteria; Bacillati; Bacillota; Bacilli; Caryophanales; Staphylococcaceae.